RNAcentral lists this ribosomal RNA (308 nucleotides) under uncultured bacterium. RNAcentral's name for it is "partial 16S ribosomal RNA". It matches the Rfam family "Bacterial small subunit ribosomal RNA", at positions 505 to 808 of the family's 1533-position model. The record is from RNAcentral.
GAGACAGCAGUCGCCGCGGUAAUACGUAGGUGGCGAGCGUUGUCCGGAAUUAUUGGGCGUAAAGGGAGCGCAGGCGGACAUAUAAGUCCAUCGUAAAAGUGCGGGGCUCAACCCCGUGAGGGGAUGGAAACUGUAUGCCUUGAGUGCAGGAGAGGAAAGCGGAAUUCCCAGUGUAGCGGUGAAAUGCGUAGAUAUUGGGAGGAACACCAGUGGCGAAGGCGACUUUCUGGACGAAAACUGACGCUGAGGCGCGAAAGCGUGGGGAGCAAACAGGAUUAGAUACCCGCGUAGUCCCUGUCUCUUAUACA